RNAcentral lists this ribosomal RNA (1089 nucleotides) under Bacillus sp. (in: firmicutes). Its description in RNAcentral is "bacterial SSU rRNA". It matches the Rfam family "Bacterial small subunit ribosomal RNA", at positions 38 to 1111 of the family's 1533-position model. Lineage: Bacteria; Bacillati; Bacillota; Bacilli; Caryophanales; Bacillaceae. The record is from RNAcentral.
GGGGGUGGCCCUAAAUACAUGCAAGUCGAGCGGACCUCUUCGGAGGUCAGCGGCGGACGGGUGAGUAACACGUGGGCAACCUGCCUGUAAGACUGGGAUAACUCCGGGAAACCGGAGCUAAUACCGGAUACUAUGUCAAACCGCAUGGUUUGACAUUCAAAGACGGUUUCGGCUGUCACUUACAGAUGGGCCCGCGGCGCAUUAGCUAGUUGGUGAGGUAACGGCUCACCAAGGCGACGAUGCGUAGCCGACCUGAGAGGGUGAUCGGCCACACUGGGACUGAGACACGGCCCAGACUCCUACGGGAGGCAGCAGUAGGGAAUCUUCCGCAAUGGACGAAAGUCUGACGGAGCAACGCCGCGUGAGUGAUGAAGGUUUUCGGAUCGUAAAACUCUGUUGUCAGGGAAGAACAAGUGCCGGAGUAACUGCCGGCGCCUUGACGGUACCUGACCAGAAAGCCACGGCUAACUACGUGCCAGCAGCCGCGGUAAUACGUAGGUGGCAAGCGUUGUCCGGAAUUAUUGGGCGUAAAGCGCGCGCAGGCGGUUUCUUAAGUCUGAUGUGAAAGCCCCCGGCUCAACCGGGGAGGGUCAUUGGAAACUGGGAAACUUGAGUGCAGAAGAGGAGAGUGGAAUUCCACGUGUAGCGGUGAAAUGCGUAGAGAUGUGGAGGAACACCAGUGGCGAAGGCGACUCUCUGGUCUGUAACUGACGCUGAGGCGCGAAAGCGUGGGGAGCGAACAGGAUUAGAUACCCUGGUAGUCCACGCCGUAAACGAUGAGUGCUAAGUGUUAGAGGGUUUCCGCCCUUUAGUGCUGCAGCUAACGCAUUAAGCACUCCGCCUGGGGGAGUACGGUCGCAAGACUGAAACUCAAAGGAAUUGACGGGGGGCCCGCACAAGCGGUGGGAGCAUGUGGGUUUAAUUUCGAAGCAACGCGAGAACCCUUUACCAGGUCUUGACAUCCCUUUGCACUUCUAGAGAAUAGAAGAUCCCCGUCGGGGGACAAGUGACAGUGCUGGCAUGAUGGUCGGUCAGCUCAUUCGUGGAAUGCUGGGUUUAAGUCCGCACCGAAGCCGCAACCCGAUUUGA